RNAcentral lists this long non-coding RNA (2657 nucleotides) under Diabrotica virgifera virgifera (western corn rootworm). RNAcentral describes it as "uncharacterized LOC126879524". Lineage: Eukaryota; Metazoa; Arthropoda; Insecta; Coleoptera; Chrysomelidae. The record is from RNAcentral.
CGCAAACCAGUCGAAGAGAUAAUGGACUUCCUAAGUCUUGACGUCACAAAAUUGGGAGGAGCUUAUAUUUGGCUCCAAACAAUUUUGUUUGUAAUGUUAAACACUCAUAAGGAAUUUUUAAUUUAUUGUUUACGUAGUUUGUGUGACAAAAUAAGACUUUUCAUUUAGGUAUUUAGUUAAAGAAACGUGCCAAUUAAGAGAUUUUUAUUCGUUUUGGCUCAGGUGAGUUAAUUUAAUGCAAUGAUUAGAACGUAAACAGUGUUGAGGUUAUGUUUAUUUUCAAUCACUAAGGAAUAAAAACCACCUGAGCAAAAACGAAUAAAAAUCUCUUAAUUAAUACGUUUCUUUAACAAAAUACGUAAAUGAAGUCUUAUUUUGCCACACAAAGCACAUAAAUGAAAAAUGUCUUAUGACCAUUUAACCUUACAAUCAAAAUUGUUUGGAGCCAAUAUAAGCUCCUCCCAAUUUUGUGACAUUUGUGACGUCAGACUUAGGCUGUCCAUUGUCGUCAGGACGCGCGGAGUGAAGGCUCACUCUAUGUUAAUAUAUACCUAUGCAAACGUCCGUGUUGAGUUUAGUCACGUUUAGUGUGGUCUCUUCUAGAACCGUCUAUAUUCCUUAGAAUACGAUCGACUCAGGCGUUCGACUCAGGCGAUAAUGCACGUAGUCCCAAUGCAGAGAUUAAACCUCUUUUAAUGUGCAUGCUUCCUAGGGCGUCAUUAUCUGAAUCUCGUCUUGAUGAAGAUACAUCCGGUGAUAUAUUUGUGUUUUCUGUUUAUCGUGCAAGUGCAGUCGUGCAUUAAUGAAGUUCCUAGUUCCUAUAAUAAAGUAUAUAUUAUAAUGAAGUUAUAGUAAAGAGAAAUAAAAAAAGUCUUUUGUGUAAUAUUUUUAAGUAUCUAUAAGUUUAGUAUUGUAAGGAACUAUUUCUAUAAAAGCUUUUUGCUAUGUAUUCACAAAAUUAUGGAUACUGGAUUGCUUUCUGAAAAGUGCCCUACAAAUGUCCAUAAGACGUACAUUGAAUGUACAUAACCCAGGCAACCAAGAGACGUCAAUAACGUCGAGGAAACGUCAGUUUUUGGUUGAAUAUACACACGUGGUUGAACAUUACGUCAUACCGACGUCUUUUGUAGGUGAUUUUAAAUACGUAAAAUUAAUGACGUUAAAAUACGUUUAAAAGACGUUUUCAUUUCAGACAGCCGAAGUCUGACGGCUGACGUCACGAAAUUGGGAGAAGCUUAAAAGUUACAAAACAAAGGUUAUAGGUUAUGUUUGUAUCGUCGUUUCAUAUUUUGGAUUCAUUUGGAUUUGGUUGGCUGUUUUUUUGUGAAUUUUUUAAAAGUUUUGUUUGUAAUUUGUGAAUUUUAUAAAUUUACCACAAUGCAAAGUGAUUAUUUAAGGAAAUUAUUAUUGGAAACUCCAAAUGUUGGAGGAAAAGGUAUUCAUUGAAGCUGAAAAUAAUUGGUUUUUUAGAUCCAUGUACAAUUCAGUCAUCAGAAUUGGAUUUUACAGUAAAGUGCACAUUCCACCAAAUACUAUUAUAAUGCUAUUAUAGAUACAUAUUUAUACAUAUCUGGUAGAGUCUCACAGUUACUAAUUUAAGCAGCAGAUGAAAGCAUACAAAAGCCUUUAGGCACAUAAAAUCCUUCACAACUGGAUUUGUUUUGAAAGUUAUUGUUGGAAAGGUGAAGCAUUCCCAAAAAGCUAAUGCGAAACCACUAGGUGCUUGGGCGAUAGCCAGUUCCAGUGGCAUAGCAAAUGCACAUUGUAUGUAUCUGGCUGGUAAUAGUGAAGUUUGCAGCAAUCUUAUUUGCAGCUGAGUAUGCCCACAGCAAGACAGAAGAAAAAGAACCCAAUGCAUGUACAGAUGUUACAGCUAUGUACAUUCUCUGAUGAAAAAUUAAUGAGUUUUGAAACUGUUGUCAGAGUGCUUGUUGCGCUCUCUAAACGAACUGAAAUAUAAGACGGCUUUGGCUUCAUGUUGCAGCGAUAUGAAAAUGGUUAUUCAUUUUUAAUUAUAAUGCACUUCUUAAUCAUGAGUAUUUAUGUAUUAGUCUUUUAAGUGUGUAUUAUCAGAUAUCACGUGUAAAUUCUUUUUAUCAUUUUAAUUUCGUCAUGACAGUCCCUUAUUCAAAAAAUAUAUUUUUCAGGUGUCUGUAGAUCUUUUUGUAUGCAAAAAUGUGUAAUAAUUAUUUGAAAUCAAUUUGAGGAUUAUAAGAGUAUGGAAAUAUAUAUGAGAAUACAGACUAUUAUAGUUUUGUCCUAUUUUUUAUCAUUAAAUCCUCUUCCUUAAAAUUUAUAAAUAUAAAGCAGAUAGUUUUAAUUGAAAUUCAAUAUAUUGGGUCUUAUUUAUAUGUAUUCAUUUCUGACUAAAGGUACAAUUCCGACAACGACUGCAGACGGCAACUGCAAACAUCAGUUGCAGUUGUCAGUGUUACGGACGUAACUACUUUGCACUAUUUAUCUGUAUGAGACUGAUUCCGACAUCUGACUGCAACUGCUGUCCGGCAGAACGUCAGUUGCUAAUAAUUAUGCAAAUUAAUAGUACAAAAUAAUGACCGUCUGAUAUGGUGACAACUGUAACUGCCGUCUGCAGUCGUUGUCGGAAUUGUACCUUUAAAUGUGUGGUAUAAUUAUAAUAAUUAUAUAUAUUAUAUAAC